Molecule: ribosomal RNA, 253 nt
Filed under: uncultured bacterium
Lineage: Bacteria
Description: partial 16S ribosomal RNA
Rfam family: Bacterial small subunit ribosomal RNA
Source: RNAcentral
UACGGGGGGAGCAAGCGUUGUUCGGAUUUACUGGGCGUAAAGCGCACGUAGGCGGAUCAGUCAGUCAGGGGUGAAAUCCCGGGGCUCAACCCCGGAACUGCCUUUGAUACUGCUGGUCUUGAGGUCGAGAGAGGUGAGUGGAAUUCCGAGUGUAGAGGUGAAAUUCGUAGAUAUUCGGAGGAACACCAGUGGCGAAGGCGGCUCACUGGCUCGAUACUGACGCUGAGGAGCGAAAGCGCGGGGAGCGAACAGG